Molecule: ribosomal RNA, 253 nt
Filed under: uncultured bacterium
Lineage: Bacteria
Description: partial 16S ribosomal RNA
Rfam family: Bacterial small subunit ribosomal RNA
Source: RNAcentral
AACGUAGGUGGCGAGCGUUAUCCGGAUUUACUGGGCGUAAAGGGUGUGCAGGCGGGCUGUUAAGUGGUGCAUGAAAUCUCCGCGCUUAACGUGGAGAGGCUGUGCCAGACUGGCAGUCUAGAGUACGAGAGAGGGUUGUGGAAUUCCGGGUGUAGUGGUGAAAUGCGUAGAGAUCCGGAGGAACACCAGAGGCGAAGGCGGCUCACUGGUCCGGUACUGACGCUGAGGUGCGAAAGCGUGGGGAGCAAACAGG